Molecule: long non-coding RNA, 345 nt
Organism: Prosopis cineraria
Lineage: Eukaryota; Viridiplantae; Streptophyta; Magnoliopsida; Fabales; Fabaceae
Exons: 3
Source: RefSeq, a predicted model, not a curated record
UUCAUGUUUCGUUACUUUCUUCGCUUUCUUCUACUCCAUCACUGUUAUUAUCACUUUCAAUUUCUUCUUCCAUCAUUUUAAUCUCUCUCAUAUCUGAGCUCCAUUUUCUCGUCAUUCAGCCAUGACUAAAAAGGUGACAACAAUGAUACUCGAGGUUGAUCUCCAGUGUGUGAAAUGCUACAAGAAGGUCAAGAAUGUUCUCUGUAAAUUCCCACAAAUUCAAGACCAGAAAUUCGAUGAGAAGAAGAACACUGUGACGAUUAAAGUGGUGAGCUGUAGCCCAGAGAAGAUUAUGGAUCAGCUUUGCCGUAAAGGUUGUGGCGCCAUUAAGAAAAUCAUAGUUCC